UGAGUCAUUGUAGCAAUACAAGGCAUACGGCUCAGUAACACGUAGUCAAUCUGCCCUAUGGACGUGGAUAACCUCGGGAAACUGAGAAUAAUCCGCGAUAGAUCAUAAUGCCUGGAACGGUUUAUGGUCCAAAUGAUUCGUCGCCAUAGGAUGGGACUGCGGCCUAUCAGCUUGUUGGUGAGGUAAUGGCCCACCAAGGCUAUUACAGGUACGGGCUCUGAGAGGAGAAGCCCGGAGAUGGGUACUGAGACACGGACCCAGGCCCUAUGGGGCGCAGCAGGCGAGAAACCUUUGCAAUGUGCGCAAGCACGACAAGGUUAAUCCGAGUGUUUCCUGCUAAAGGAAUCUUUUGUUAGUUCUAAAACCACUGAUGAAUAAGGGGUGGGCAAGUUCUGGUGUCAGCCGCCGCGGUAAAACCAGCACCUCAAGUGGUCAGGAGGAUUAUUGGGCCUAAAGCAUCCGUAGCCGGUUCUGUAAGUUUCCGGUUAAAUCCACUAGCUCAACUAAUGGGCUGCCAGAAAUACUGCANAACUAGGGAGUGGGAGAGGUAGACGGUACUCGGGAGGAAGGGGUAAAAUCCUUUGAUCUCUUGAUGACCACCUGUGGCGAAGGCGGUCUACCANAACACGUUCGACGGUGAGGGAUGAAAGCUGGGGGAGCAAACCGGAUUAGAUACCCGGGUAGUCCCAGCUGUAAACGAUGCAGACUCGGUGAUGCACUGGCUUUUGGCCAGUGCAGUGCCGCAGGGAAGCCGUUAAGUUUGCCGCCUGGGAAGUACGUACGCAAGUAUGAAACUUAAAGGAAUUGGCGGGGGAGCACCACAAGGGGUGAAGCCUGCGGUUCAAUUGGAUUCAACGCCGGAAAGGGCGAAUUCGUUUAAACCUGCAGGACUAGUCCUU
This 899-nucleotide ribosomal RNA is filed under the name uncultured archaeon. Its description in RNAcentral is "bacterial SSU rRNA". It matches the Rfam family "Archaeal small subunit ribosomal RNA", at positions 54 to 969 of the family's 1478-position model. The record is from RNAcentral.